This 74-nucleotide transfer RNA is filed under the name Streptomyces phage Annadreamy. Its description in RNAcentral is "tRNA-Gln". It matches the Rfam family "tRNA". From Rfam's summary of the family: Transfer RNA (tRNA) molecules are approximately 80 nucleotides in length. Their secondary structure includes four short double-helical elements and three loops (D, anti-codon, and T loops). Further hydrogen bonds mediate the characteristic L-shaped molecular structure. tRNAs have two regions of fundamental functional importance: the anti-codon, which is responsible for specific mRNA codon recognition, and the 3' end, to which the tRNAs corresponding amino acid is attached (by aminoacyl-tRNA synthetases). tRNAs cope with the degeneracy of the genetic code in two manners: having more than one tRNA (with a specific anti-codon) for a particular amino acid; and 'wobble' base-pairing, i.e. permitting non-standard base-pairing at the 3rd anti-codon position. RNAcentral also lists the same sequence under 1 other name. The record is from RNAcentral. Lineage: Duplodnaviria; Heunggongvirae; Uroviricota; Caudoviricetes; Stanwilliamsviridae.
UCCCCUGUGGUCUAAUUGGCAGUGACGCCGGGUUUUGGUCCCGGAAGUUCGAGUUCGAGUCUCGCCGGGGGAGC